UUAAAUAUAUUUUAAAUAAAAUAAAAAUUUUCCAAAUUUUAGAUAUAAGAGUGUAUUUAUUAUUUAAU
RNAcentral lists this transfer RNA (68 nucleotides) under Lissoclinum patella. RNAcentral's name for it is "tRNA-Glu". Lineage: Eukaryota; Metazoa; Chordata; Ascidiacea; Aplousobranchia; Didemnidae. The record is from RNAcentral.